This is a non-coding RNA of Cyanistes caeruleus (blue tit), 5161 nucleotides long. The record is from RefSeq and is a predicted model, not a curated record. NCBI's taxonomy places the organism in Eukaryota, Metazoa, Chordata, Aves, Passeriformes, Paridae.
CAAGUUACCUCAUCACUGCCGCCGGCGUCCGGCCUCUCGGUACCGCGCCUCACUACAAUCCCUUGGGAUUUGCCUCCCUGCCCUCUUCAUAUUAGGGCCUUCAGCCCUCAGUAAACUUCUAACUUGUUUUCGCCCAUCGUAAUCGAUGCAGAACGAGGUGCUGCCAGAGCUGCCCAAGCCUUGCCUGAUGUGUUGCAAGGAUGGAGACAAGCACGGCAGCUGCUGCUGGAAGCUUCCUCCGUCAGUCCCUUCCCGAGAAGGUCUCUGGAGAUGCGACCUCUCUGCAGAGUCAUCCCUUCUAAACCCAUUUGUACACUGUGCUGCUCCAUGGAUGUGGGAAAGAGGAAGCUCUAGAGGCACUAAAAGGCCAUUCUCUUGCAUAGAUACAGGCAAGCAAUAUCUGUACUCUACCUCUCACAAGUACUCGGGCCCAACAGCACUGUUGUGGUCUGGCUCCAUUGUAUCCGUCUUGCUGUGUGCAUACAGCUUUUUCCUGAGACCGUGUGCUUGCUGGGGUGGGUGUCUGGCAGUCUCCAAAUAGACUUAAACCUAAAGCAGAGAUCUGCAGUAAGAACAAAAUGAUGCUGUCACUGGAUGUGUAGGAAUAAUUUUAAUAAUUGGUUUGGUAUUAAUAUUUGAAAGACAUUGCGCCUUGACUUACACGCAUACCUAAAUAUUUGCAGCAUCAGGCUGAGCCUGAGAGUGGCACAGACAAUAAUCGCAAGUUUGAAGAAGAAAAAUGCCCUCCACCAUAUAAACACCCUUUAACACCUCUCAUUACAUACAUGGAAAGCUUCCAUUUCACUGAAUUGCCCCUUUCCUCGGAUGCUGCUUGGUUAUGAAGCAUCUCAAUUGCAGCUGUACAAAUUCAUGUUUCUGUCCUGUUGCUUCAUAUUCAGGACUAUUGCAAAGGGGUAUUUUGAAAAUGAGAAUUGGGUGCUUGAGAAAAUGUACUUUUCACCUUCAAGAAAAUACCUCUUUUCAAAGCAGAAUUUGUAAGAUUUCUUAUUAAUAGAAGCAUCAAUUCUAACCCUAAUUAAUAAAUGUGUAUGGCAACAUCUCCAGUAGGAGAUUUCUCAGUAAGAAACCAGGACAUUGAUCAAACAUGUAGACUAGGGCAUACACAUAUCCAAGAUCUUAACAUUAAUUUUCACUUUAAGUGUCUACUGUUGUAUAAAAUUGUAGUCUCCCCACCUCAGCUGUCCCACCACAGGGAGGUGGUUGCCAGUGGGGUAAAACCAUGCAGCCAGCAAUCCUGUGGUCUAGAUUUAUCUUUCCCUAUCUGGCAGCAAAAACAACGUAGCAACACAGAUCUUAAGUCUUGCUGAAAAGGUGUGUGUGUUCUUAGGAAAACAAAAAAGAUAGCAAAUAUGGUGCAGGACAGAAAACAUCGCAUAUGCAUAAAGCGAUAUUUAAUUAAUUAAUAUUUACUGUGUAUGCAGAUACAUUUUACCAACAAGUGCAUGAAGAGACUUCCAGUACACUUUGCAAAGUGAAAUUAGUGACAGUAUAGUCCCGCACUUCAUAAAAAGGGCUAAGCUACCUUCUCUGCUUGAAAUAAUCUGUUUUCUGUUGAUUUUAGUGCCAUCUCUAAUGUCUUUCCUCCUAGUAAAAGUGCAUCUCCUCAGACCUGUUUUCCCCUCUUAAGCCUAUAUGUUGGAGAGGGUUGUCAGGAGCUGCUGCAGCAAGAAAGGCUGCAGCUUUGAAAGGCAUCAGUCUCAAAAAUGUAACACUGUGGUCCAAAUUACCAGGGAUGCUUUGAAGAUAGGGUCAUUUUUCAAAUCUCUGGGACAUGCAGGGGGAAAAGAGAAGGCUACCAAAUUGAAAAGGCAGGGAGACAGACAGACUAGGUGACAUGUGACAACUCCUGUGAAUAUGGUUAGUCCCAAUUAAACUGAGACAAACUCUAAAUUGUCAAAGACUGUUCCAAAAGGCAGGGUACCGCCAACCUUUUGAAAGGUCAAGCCAGUGUCUUGGAUUUUGGUUACUGCCCUUUUCCCUUACAUUCAUUCUAUUGGUGGUUUGCUGUUUAUUUUUCUGCAGUCACCAACAUUUUCCUUUGUGGGAUUUAUCCCUCAAAUACUUCUCUCCUCCAUUACAUGCACUCUUUGAAUGCAUGUUCCUGACUGGACUGCUGUGGAACUGCUCCUGGAGGUGUGGUUUCUCGCAGCCCUGGCUCUGCACCUGCACAGGGACCAGGCAGAAGGCCUGGUGGUGGUCAUACUAACACAACUUGUCCCUCCAGGGCAGAGGGAGGCACAUGGCAGUGGGAGGAUCCCCCAGAACUGAGUUAGAAGGAAAAUACAGACAGGAAAGGUGGAUUUGCUUAGUCCUCGCUGCCUGAACUGUUUGCAUUCUGCUUCCCAACCCCAGAAGACACGAGCAGUUAUCAUGACUAGUCCUCCAGUGUGACAGGAUCUUUCUGGGGCACUUGGGUCACUUAGGAACAAAACUGUUCUGAAGGAGAAUUGCAGCACUUUCAAACACUUUUCAGAGCAAAUCCUGAGAGUAAGAAUGGGCCUUCCAAGACUGCCAAGAGCAAAGAGGGGGGGAAAAAAGGGAGGUGGCCCUUUCCUAAGUGCUUACAAACCUCAGUUUUUCUCUUGCUUUUCUCUGCUUCACCCUCUCAGUGCUGCCUGCUUAAGGUGUAGUUUCAAUGGUACCCUAAGCAGCAUCAAGCAGGAAUUACUUGAUAUAUGGGACCAGUUGCCAGUCAGUGGUUGCCAUCCAAGGAGCAAAAAUCAGGUGCACUUUAUUACUUUUUAAAGAACUGUAGGGCUGACUGGCUGGCUGCCCUCCAGUUGCUGAUGCUAGUAAAAUUAUUUGAGUUGCCUAAGCUGGGAUUUCUAGCACUCUUUGCUUUUGGAUGCACAAGCCCACAGACAGCAUUCACAAAUUACUGUUGGGGCAAAGCUGAAUCUACAGUUAUUCUGUGUUGCCGCAAAACUUUCUCAAAAUUCAAGCAGACAACCACCCAACAAAGCUCUCUACAAGGCUCUGUAGCAUCUCCAGAGUGCUUGGCACAGGGAGAUUGAAUUCAGAGAACAGAGACAGAGGGGUAGAUUAGGCAAUAUAUCCCAUAGAUUUUUGGACCAGACUGUGCUCGCUUUCUGUGGAAACCCAAACAACCUGCCUCUGUGUAUGUUUUCCAGAUGAUGGUCACAUUAAACCCCAUACAGUACCCCUGUCUUUAUAAUUCAUUAUUAAAACCUCGGGAGAGAAUGGGACCCUCCAAACUGGCUAAAUAGAACAGACGAGGUUCUGAGAGAGGAGCAGGUUGUAGCAUUUAAUGGGAUGGUGACUGAUUGCUGCUUUUCCUUUCUCCUGGCAUUCUACCUUAAACUGCUUGACAGAUAAAAUAACAUGCAAGCAUUCCGGCAGGUUGCAGGAAAGUGGGUGCCUGCAAAACCCAGGAUAUAUACUGACUGUGCCCAGAUUCCUGCAGAGCCCUUCUCCACACAUGAAUAAAACAAGCACUUGGGGCUGCGCCUGCAGGCUCAGCAAAUGGCACUGUCCCCACCGUGGGCAUCUCGGGCCCCACACCAUGCCUAACAAUCAGCUGCAGCUGAUACAGAGGAACAUGGUCAGGACAGAGGGAUCCCAGUAUUCUACCGUGAGGAUGCUGGGCUGAUUCCAUUCCGCUUCGAGAAGGGGCUUGAAGCUAUGCCUCCUAUGCAUGAGCACCCCUGUGCUCCUCAUCUUAAUCCCUGCUCCCAGCUAAGGAGCUCCAUCUCAGCAGGAAUCCAACGCCAACCCCACCUCCCUGCCACCCCUUUGCAGUUCUGGGCGUCAAACUGCAUACACUGAUCACAUCUGGCUGUGCUGCCACCUCCCGAGAGAAAGCAGCAUCCUGGCUUCAGCUCAGAGGGAAGGAAACGUUCCAGAGCCGGGCUCCCAGCCUGCACGGAGGGCCCCGGGCAAGCCGGGACUCCAGGGACCGCCGGCAGCCUGGGGAGGCAAACGUGGGCCCAAGAUCGCCGCACCCCUGGGUCAGCUGCAGCCUGGGAACCUCUGUUACUCACAAGGCUGAAGAAGCAGAAGGCACAAGUGGAUCUCCAAAACAUCAGUGGACAGAAGAACCAUUUGAGGCAGUGAGCUUUCACUGAUCUGAGCACAGAAGUUCCCCAAUUCUGACAGCCACAGGAAAUGCAGGAAAUAGGAGCAAGCAGAGAAGGAAGUGGAUGAACAGCUUUCACUCCAUUAAGUGUAUCUCCCUUGGGUUCUCUGUUCAAGCUGGAAAGAAAGUUCUCGAAAAACUUGGAUGGCACAUUUGGGACUUACCUACAACACAACAAUGGUUUGUUUGCAGUGGCUUAAUUUAAAUUGGAUUUCACAUCAAUUCGUUGAACAGCUGAGGAACCCCAUGUGGACACACUUAUUUGCCUUAAGAAUUGUCUAAAAUCUGUUCCAAAUUGAUUUAAGCUUCACUGAUCAGAUUUAAAUAUAUACUUAAAAGGUCAACACCACCUUUUGCAUUGAUUUAAUGAAAUGAUAUUGAAAGCAAUGCUUGAGUAAACUGGUGCAGCUCUGUGUAAAAGCUGUCUGAAUUAGUGUAAUAUGGAUUGUCAAAAAAUGGAGAAACAUUUCUCCUCCUCGAAGUUUGCAAAUUCAAUCUCUUGAUUGAGUGCUAGCAAGAUGGAGGCUGAUGAAUCUCUCCUCUGAUGGAGCCUCAUAUUGAUUUUAUCAUUAGAUAUACAAAGCAAAAGGCUAAUUUAGUAAUAGGCAUGUUUCAUGCCUGCCUUUCAUGGUGUUGAUCUAAACACUUCAUAUAUACACUUUAGCUCAAAAGCACAUAAAUUCCUUCUUCAAUAUGAAAUUUCAAAAUGUGGAUGUGUUUUUGAAAUUAUGAGCUUUAAAAAUGUCUUGAGGUAAAUCUAGGUAGCUAUGAUCUUAAAAAAUAUUUAGAGAAAUAAUGGCAUGAAAGAAUUACUUAUAUCAGGAGCCUAUUCCACUGUUUAACAGGUGCAGAUAUCCAUCACAAAUUAAGCCUCAUUUGUGCUGAGUGGUUGAAUUGCUGAGGAAUCACUUUAUUGGUAUGUGAAACAUCUACUAUGUAUAGCUGGACAGAUUCCCAGGAAUUCCAAUGAAACACAUUAAUGCACAAGAGAAAACAUCCUUCCUCAUAAGACUUAUGAAAUCAUAAGCUUUGCUCCUCUCAGUA